GGGGAGGCCUAUGCAUGCAGUCGAGCGAGCUUGCCUAGAUGAUUUUAGUGCUUGCACUAAAUGAAACUAGAUACAAGCCUCCCGACAGAGGGGUGAGUAACACGUGGGUAACCUGCCCAAGACACCGACAGAACACCUGGAAACAGAUGCUAAUACCGGAUAACAACACUAGACGCAUGUCUAGAGUUUGAAAGAUGGUUCUCGCUAUCACUCUUGGAUGGACCUGCGGUGCAUUAGCUAGUUGGUAAGGUAACGGCUUACCAAGGCAAUGAUGCAUAGCCGAGUUGAGAGACUGAUCGGCCACAUUGGGACUGAGACACGGCCCAAACUCCUACGGGAGGCAGCAGUAGGGAAUCUUCCACAAUGGACGAAAGUCUGAUGGAGCAACGCCGCGUGAGUGAAGAAGGGUUUCGGCUCGUAAAGCUCUGUUGGUAGUGAAGAAAGAUAGAGGUAGUAACUGGCCUUUAUUUGACGGUAAUUACUUAGAAAGUCACGGCUAACUACGUGCCAGCAGCCGCGGUAAUACGUAGGUGGCAAGCGUUGUCCGGAUUUAUUGGGCGUAAAGCGAGUGCAGGCGGUUCAAUAAGUCUGAUGUGAAAGCCUUCGGCUCAACCGGAGAAUUGCAUCAGAAACUGUUGAACUUGAGUGCAGAAGAGGAGAGUGGAACUCCAUGUGUAGCGGUGGAAUGCGUAGAUAUAUGGAAGAACACCAGUGGCGAAGGCGGCUCUCUGGUCUGCAACUGACGCUGAG
This 750-nucleotide ribosomal RNA is filed under the name uncultured bacterium. Its description in RNAcentral is "bacterial SSU rRNA". It matches the Rfam family "Bacterial small subunit ribosomal RNA", at positions 41 to 750 of the family's 1533-position model. The record is from RNAcentral.